AGGCACAUGUGUGCGGUGAUGGAUGGUAAUUAGUCUUUGGUUGGUGAAUGUGAUGUAAGCUGCACAGGACUCGAAAUAUAAUGUUGUACUCCUGAAAUUUAUAUAAUGUUAUAAACCAAUGUUACUGCAAUAAAAAAUAAGAAAUAGAUGAAAUGAAACUAAAAUUCAUGUUGUAAAAAAAUAUGAAACAAAAUAGAGCAUUUGAGUCUAAAAGAGGAGAAAGAAAGGACAGGCAAGGCAGAAAUAUGAAAGACAGUGAGACAAAAGUCAGAAAUCAUUGAAAAGUUCUCUUUGUUAAUGUUUCCUAUCUAUAAAGUGGCAACUGAGUUUUCCUGCUGAGGAUUUGGGUUCCCAUGAGCAUGGUUGCAGUUUUCUUAGGCCAACAGCUGAAGUGCAAGGAUUUUGCAAGGAGGAGUUUCACACCUUGUGCAGUUUUUCCUACUACUGUCCACCUGAACCCCUGGGAAGGAGGAAGGCUGGCAGCUUCUCUGACAAUCAGCCACCGCUUUUUCCUAUCAGUCCACAUGGACCCUUCUGUGCCUACUUCAUCAUCUGGACACCAGCCUCUGUUUUCCCUUCUACUCAGUGGCCUACUGCCCUCUCUUCCACAACUACUGAUUAACAUCUGCCAAAGGGGCAUCAGGAAAGUGAGAGUGCACAGAUUUUACAGGUUGAGAACGGUUGGACCCCUGGGACAGGUGUGCACUGUCCACCAUUCUAAGGCCCCACCUCCGCACACUCUGUCUUACACCCAGUGGCUUCAGUCAUUUAUGUAAGUUGCCUGGUUCCAGCGGGCACUGGAGUUUGGAGCUGCUGAUUCAUGGAAAGGAG
This 831-nucleotide long non-coding RNA is filed under the name Equus caballus (horse). Its description in RNAcentral is "lncRNA (ENSECAG00000029004.3)". Lineage: Eukaryota; Metazoa; Chordata; Mammalia; Perissodactyla; Equidae. The record is from RNAcentral.